UACGUAGGGACCAAGCGUUGUUCGGAUUUACUGGGCGUAAAGGGCGCGUAGGCGGCGCGGUAAGUCACUUGUGAAAUCUCUGAGCUUAACUCAGAACGGCCAAGUGAUACUGCAGUGCUAGAGUGUGGAAGGGGCAAUCGGAAUUCUUGGUGUAGCGGUGAAAUGCGUAGAUAUCAGGAGGAACACCUAUUGCGAAGGCAGCUCGCUGGGACGUGACUGACACUGAGGCACGAAAGCAUGGGGAGCAAACAGG
RNAcentral lists this ribosomal RNA (253 nucleotides) under uncultured bacterium. RNAcentral describes it as "partial 16S ribosomal RNA". It matches the Rfam family "Bacterial small subunit ribosomal RNA", at positions 524 to 776 of the family's 1533-position model. The record is from RNAcentral.